UUAGGUCUUAGUUGUUGGUCUUGUCUAA
RNAcentral lists this non-coding RNA (28 nucleotides) under Rattus norvegicus (Norway rat). Lineage: Eukaryota; Metazoa; Chordata; Mammalia; Rodentia; Muridae. The record is from RNAcentral.